AAAUAAAAAAUUGUCCAGUAGCACCUUAGAGACCAAUUAAGUUUGUUCUUGGUAUUAGCUUUUGUGUGUAUGAUACCAAGAACAAACUUAGUUGGUCUCUAAGGUGCUACUGGACAAUUUUUUAUUU
This 127-nucleotide microRNA precursor is filed under the name Podarcis lilfordi (Lilford's wall lizard). The record is from RNAcentral. Lineage: Eukaryota; Metazoa; Chordata; Lepidosauria; Squamata; Lacertidae.